UGGGAGGUGUAAAGGGCACACGGUUCAGUGGUGCUGCACGUGUCUCCUGGCGUGAUGAGGAGACGGAGGUUUUCAUGGAAUCACAGACUGUUAAGGGGGGCAGCAAAGGAGUCUUAAGGGACAUGAAAAACCAAGAGGCAUCAGAGAAUUACUCCCAAGGCCUUUGCUUUGCCUGGAGGAGUGGUUGAUGGCUGCCAUCCGUGGGAAGUCUUGUGAAGAACGUCCAGGAUCUCACUGUGACACAAGAGACCAGGUGGAGGGAUGGGUUUUCCUCUUCCUCUGCAGAGGAAAGGUGAGCUGG
Long non-coding RNA from Passer domesticus (house sparrow), 301 nucleotides. RefSeq lists it as uncharacterized. The record is from RefSeq and is a predicted model, not a curated record. The transcript has 2 exons. NCBI's taxonomy places the organism in Eukaryota, Metazoa, Chordata, Aves, Passeriformes, Passeridae.